RNAcentral lists this ribosomal RNA (661 nucleotides) under uncultured bacterium. RNAcentral describes it as "bacterial SSU rRNA". It matches the Rfam family "Bacterial small subunit ribosomal RNA", at positions 28 to 721 of the family's 1533-position model. The record is from RNAcentral.
GAUGAACGCUGGCGGCGUGCCUAACACAUGCAAGUCGAACGGAGGUAUCGCGCUGAAGAUCGAGAUGCUUGCAUUAAGAGAAUCUUGUGAUAGCUUAGUGGCGGACGGGUGAGUAACGUGUGGAUAACCUGGUCCAUCCAGGGGGAUAGCAGCUGGAAACGGCUGGUAAUACCGCAUGAGCGCACACUACCGCUUUUUAGAGUGUUUUAAGAUUUAUCGGGAUGGAAUGGAUCCGCAUCUGAUUAGCCAGUUGGCGGGGUAGAAGCCCACCAAAGCGACGAUCAGUAGCCGGCCUGAGAGGGCGGACGGCCACAUUGGGACUGAGACACGGCCCAGACUCCUACGGGAGGCAGCAGUGGGGAAUAUUGCACAAUGGGGGAAACCCUGAUGCAGCGAUGCCGCGUGGAGGAGAAGGUUUCGGAUUGUAACUCCUGUCUUAAAGGACGAUAUGACGGUACUUUAGAGAGCUCCGGCUACUACUGCCAGCAGCCGCGUAUACGUAGGAGCGAGCGUUGUCCGGAAUUACUGGGUGUAAAGGGAGCGUAGCGGAUGCAGCCAAUGUGAACUAUGGCCCCCCAAAACGAUUUAAUCUUGUUCUUUUUGUAAAGGAGGAAUCUGGUCGGAAUCAUAAGAACUUGGAGGUGUUUGCUGUACGCGAACG